AAGGGCACCACAAGAACGCGUGGAGCAUGUGGCUUAAUUUGACUCAACGCGGGAAAUCUUACCGGGUCCGGACACACUGAGGAUUGACAGAUAUAUACCCGUGAGUACUUCGGUGCUCGCGGGUUGAAAGAUGCUAGUUCUUUCAUGAUUAUGUGAUAGGUGGUGCAUGGCCGUUCUUAGUUCGUGGAGUGAUCUGUCUGCUUAAUUGCGUAUCAAUAAUAGAGACCUAGUAUACGCGUAGACUCAUGCGGUAGUGACCCCCCUUCACAGGGCGCGUGUCGCACGUAUGUUAUACGCACAGGUCUCCGAUAGCAACGAACGUGACCGUACUCUAUUGUUGCAGCGACAAUACCUUUCAACGGGUAUUACCGCUGCUUAGCAAGAUUCGCCUUGCAUUAAACUAUAGAGACCGCUGUUUCUUCUUUAAACCAGAGGAAGGAUACGGCAAUAACAGGUCUGUGAUGCCCUCAGAUGUUCCGGGCUGCACACGUGCUACAAUGAUCAUUGCACUGUGCAUCUAACCCAAUGUGCGCGGACGCCGCCGUGCGUAUAUACUUUAUUGUGUAUGCGUAUCGUGCGUGCGACCGCGCCGAACCUGCUUCGAAAGUAAACAUUUCCAGCGGGUAAUCCAUUAGAAGUAAUGACUCGCAUAGACCAUGGCACACUAUAUGUACCCGCGGGUUCUACCCGGCUCGCCUUUGUGUGAGUGCAGUGCGUAGCUCGUUGUUUGGUACGUGCCACUCCGUAUUAAUUCAUACGUGGGGAUAGAUCAUUGUUUAAUUGUUGGUCUCGGUCUUAACUAGGAAUGCCUUGUACGGGUCUUUGGUUCAACAUACCACCCGGAAUACGUCCCUGCCCUUUGUACACACCGCCCGUCGCUCUUACCGAUGGAUUAUACUAUGAAUCUAUAGGACUGCCAAAGUUGCUCUUCGCGGGGCGCUUAGUGGAAAUAUAUAUGAAUAGUGUGAUCUAAAGGAAAGAGAAGUCGUAACAAGGCAUCGGUAGGUGAACCUGCAGAAGGAUCA
This 1025-nucleotide ribosomal RNA is filed under the name Ammonia sp. MS146. RNAcentral's name for it is "SSU rRNA". It matches the Rfam family "Eukaryotic small subunit ribosomal RNA", at positions 1160 to 1828 of the family's 1831-position model. Lineage: Eukaryota; Foraminifera; Rotaliida; Rotaliidae. The record is from RNAcentral.